This is a long non-coding RNA of Ostrea edulis (European flat oyster), 779 nucleotides long. RefSeq lists it as uncharacterized. NCBI's taxonomy places the organism in Eukaryota, Metazoa, Mollusca, Bivalvia, Ostreida, Ostreidae. The record is from RefSeq and is a predicted model, not a curated record. The transcript has 3 exons.
AGUUUCUUGAUUCAGUUGUUGUUUCAGAGCGUUGAUUUCUUGUGCAGAAAACUCAUUUGAACAGAGGACGUUCUUUUGUUGAACUUGAGAAUUUCCAUCCGUUAAAGGGGACUGUGUCACUGCCGUGGCUAAUAUGAUCCAGGAACACAACAAAGGUAAAAACGCCAUCAUAGAAAAAGAAAUAAUUGUAAACACAGUGUAUCAAGCAGACAUCAAUGGCUGGGGCUCGCGUGACAACAACCUUUAGACCAGGCGUUGGGUGUCAGUCCAACCUUUUAAGAAUUACUGAGGACUGGAAGAGAGUACUUGAUGAAAAUAAAUACCAAAAGACCUUGGAACUUCUAAGACCAUGAACAACUAGGUAUGGUAAAAGGUCAUUCAGCUAUGCAGCCGCCAUACUGUGGAACUCCUUACCCAACCAUGUAAGGGAAAUAUCCUCCUUCAAUCAAUUUAAAACUUUCAUUGACGCUUGGAGGGGAAAAACUGCAAAUGCAGCUCCAGUCGAGUACACGAUGGGGAGGUGCAUGGCUGAAUAAAAACCUCAUUUUUCAAUAUAUCAUAUACUGUUUUUGUUAACUGUUUCCUUUUAUGCAAAUUUUGCAACGUUACAUCUGCAUCACUACCAAUGUUUGCUUUUUGUCGGUAGACGAGACAGGUAACUUCAAACAUUUUCCACUGCGUUAUUUUGCCAUCAAUUUUACAAACAGGAUUUUAAUCAUUUUUACCUCUAAAGUAAUGUAUACGCCUAAUGAAAAUAAUUAACUGUGUGAUACCUUUAA